GUUGACGUGUAGUACACUCUGAUAUGAGCGAGAUUGACGUGUAGUACACUCUGAUAUGAGCGAGGUUGACGUGUAGUACACUCUGAUAUGAGCGAGGUUGACGUGUAGUACACUCUGAUAUGAGCGAGGUUGACGUGUAGUACACUCUGAUAUAAACGAGGUUGACGUGUAGUACACUCUGAUAUAAGCGAGGUUGACGUGUAGUACACUCUGAUAUAAGCGAGGUUGACGUGUAGUACACUCUGAUAUGAACGAGGUUGACGCGUAGUACACUCUGAUAUAAUCGAGGUUGACGCGUAGUACACUCUGAUAUAAGCGAGGUUGACGCGUAGUACACUCUGAUAUAAGCGAGGUUGGCGUGUAGUACACUCUGAUAUAAGCGAGGUUGACGCGUAGUACACUCUGAUAUGAGCGAGGUUGACGCGUAGUACACUCUGAUAUAAGCGAGGUUGACGUGUAGUACACUCUGAUAUAAACGAGGUUGACGUGUAGUACACUCUGAUAUAAGCGAGGUUGACGUGUAGUACACUCUGAUAUGAGCGAGGUUGACGUGUAGUACACUCUGAUAUAAACGAGGUUGACGUGUAGUACACUUUGUAGCUGUAAUAACAACGCUGGUUGGUUGAUUAUGUCCCCAGCAGAAGAGAACUGUCACACAGAGAAGCGAAUGUUUAUUCAUUAACAUUACUCACUCUCCCAGCACGCUGCUCUACAUCUCCACUUUACACGUGCCUCUAAACUGCCACCUGAUUGGCUGGGUCAUGUCAAGCUGACCCGUCUUUCAAUCUUUAAAAGCACUCUGUUCUGCCAGGAAUAAAUAAACAAAUAAAUAAAUAAAAGGACAAAAAAAUAUUCAGACUGUCGGUGUGUUACAAAUUGCCGAUGCUAGAGACCUCUGAUAAUUUUUUUUGGUCCCAAUUAAUUGUUGUUUUUCUAAUAAUAUAAUUUCUGAGCUAUUUGUUUAGAAAUAAAUCAAUUUUCUCGAGCAGAAAGCAAUAUCAUAAAGGUUUCAGCUUUUGCCACAUGCUGCUACUCACUGUUUGGCUAAACUAGCCGACUAGCCGCUGGUCAAAAUGUCACCAAAUCCCUGGGGGAAAAAAAGAGAGAGUGGUUCAUUUGUUAGCCUCUCACCCCUCUCCAAACUAAUCACGUGCCAAAUUGAUAAAAUUAUCACACUUUUCCUUUUUGAAUUCAGCAGACGUACCAUGAAAUAUCAUUAGCGCCUCCAUCUGCGUGCGCGUCAUUACCUAUCCGAGCGUAGGAGGUUCGCGCUACGCUCGCUAUCGUCAAAAUCAUUGUUUUACCAGACGAAGCUAUGACAAGUCACCGGUAAAUUUAAUCUAAUGAUAUGCAAAUUUGGGAAAAAAAGACAAUUAGGGCUGCUCAGACUGAUGUUGGCAUGCGUGUCAGAGCGCAGCUCCACCGUCCCCCGAUCUGCGGAUGCGUAUGAAUCAGAUUAGCGGAAUAAUGAGAGCGAGAGAGAGCUUUAGCCUCG
Long non-coding RNA from Ictalurus punctatus (channel catfish), 1495 nucleotides. The record is from Ensembl. NCBI's taxonomy places the organism in Eukaryota, Metazoa, Chordata, Actinopteri, Siluriformes, Ictaluridae.